RNAcentral lists this long non-coding RNA (223 nucleotides) under Elaeis guineensis (African oil palm). Its description in RNAcentral is "long non-coding RNA (EGUI_LNC024078)". Lineage: Eukaryota; Viridiplantae; Streptophyta; Magnoliopsida; Arecales; Arecaceae. The record is from RNAcentral.
UAAUAUUUAUUGUUAUCUGAAACACAGCGGAAUAGAGAUCAAAAUCCUCAAGGAUUGCUUGAAUCUGAUACCUUGUGAGACCUGAAAGUGCAGGUCCUCUACUUCGCGUGUACACCAAGCCCCAUAAGAAAGAAGGAUGAUUUUCUUUACGUCAAUCUUUAGAAGAAAAGCAAGAGUUGAUAGAGAUCUAAUCUCCACGUCUUAAGAAAGAUCUUUCACGCCA